CGAGGUGGUCGCAAUCGGGGCAGCGUUUCGGUCUUCGGGCCGGGCGCCGGGCCCGGUUGAGGAAAGUCCGGGCUCCCGAAUGGCCAGGCUUGCUGGGUAACGCCCAGUGCGGGUGACCGUGAGGAGAGUGCCACAGAAACACACCGCCGAUGGCUCAGGGGGGUUCGCCCACCGAGCACAGGCAAGGGUGCAAAGGUGCGGUAAGAGCGCACCAGCAGCAUCGAGAGGUGCUGGCUCGGUAAACCCCGGCCGGGAGCAAGGCCGAGGGACAAGGGUUGGCCAUGACACCCGUCCCGCUUCAUGUGUGCCGCUCGAGGCCGUUGGUAACAACGGUCCCAGAUAGAUGACCGCCCCGGUCCGCUCCGGCGGAACGGAACAGAACCCGGCUUACGUCCUGCUU
Molecule: RNase P RNA, 400 nt
Filed under: insect gut metagenome
Description: Bacterial RNase P class A
Rfam family: Bacterial RNase P class A
About the family: Ribonuclease P (RNase P) is a ubiquitous endoribonuclease, found in archaea, bacteria and eukarya as well as chloroplasts and mitochondria. Its best characterised activity is the generation of mature 5'-ends of tRNAs by cleaving the 5'-leader elements of precursor-tRNAs.
Source: RNAcentral